RNAcentral lists this long non-coding RNA (1015 nucleotides) under Oryzias sinensis (Chinese medaka). RNAcentral describes it as "lncRNA (ENSOSIG00000003858.1)". The record is from RNAcentral. Lineage: Eukaryota; Metazoa; Chordata; Actinopteri; Beloniformes; Adrianichthyidae.
CUAGGAGGCAGUGUUACAGUUACGAUGGUGUUCAUUGGGUUGAAACAAACCUUUUUGACAGAAUGUUUGAUGCUGAAAUCCGAUGGAUUCCUUUUUUCAGGUCGCACAGAUGGACUCCCCUCCUUCCUAGUGCACAUAGAGCUCCCAAGUAUCAGGAAUUGCACCACCAGCCCGCGGGAGACCAAAGUGACCAGCCUGUCAGAGGAGCAGCAGCCUCACAUCCUCAGCACACUCACCUCCAAGUUGGAAUUUCUCCAACAGUUGCGCAUCUUCUCCAUCUUCAAAGAGGAGCAGCGGGGUUUUGACGGCCGCAGCGCACGGAGAAGAAGAAAGGGCUGCUGUCGGUGCCACAGGACAACACGGCCUGUUUGGAGGAAAAUAACAGGGAAGAGAAGAAAAAAAAGUCCUCCACUCUUUCUGAAUGCGCAAUAAAGCUCCUGCAGGUUUUCUAUCAGAGAGGCGGAUGGACAUUAGAAAAGGUCCGCUUUUGUUUUUGAGAAAUACAGUAAAAAAAACAUGCAUCCCUGUAAAGCAUGCAGAAACAAAAAAACAUGGCGGAUUGAAAAAUCUCCCACGGCAGAGUCAUUACGGCUGCAAUUAGAAAGUCAUUUGCAUAAAUGCUAAUGAGUCAGAAUGCAUGUCUGCGGUGGAGGCAAACGUGGGCUUUCUUUCCUCUGUUUGUCUUUCUUUGGGUUUCGAAAAGCAAAGGUUUUUUUGAGGAAGGCCUGAGGAGGCUUUCAUUCCAGUUUGCCCCCUUUUUAAGACAAACGCCUGCAUCUUUGCGUUAAAAGUCUUUAAUUUAAGGCAGAUAUUGCACCACUUUUGAUUUAUUUUAAUAAAGAAGCACUGAUCAUGUUUGCUGUGCUGCAGGAAAGAUGAACCCUCUCCUCGUGUGAUGCACUGUCAUCCAGAAAUUUUAAUUUCUAGUAUGGAGUUUUAGUCUGUUGUCAUUAAAAUGAGAAAACUCUCAUUUUGCAAUAUUUCUUUCCUUACCUGCAGAGUGCAUGCAUGAAUA